This is a non-coding RNA of Pelobates cultripes (western spadefoot toad), 243 nucleotides long. NCBI's taxonomy places the organism in Eukaryota, Metazoa, Chordata, Amphibia, Anura, Pelobatidae. The record is from the annotation of a GenBank genome assembly.
CUCCCCCUGCCGAUGGCAGAUCCGAAUGCACAUGUGCGGCAAGAGCCGCGUGCGCAUUGAAACUGCCCUUAGGAAAGCAUUACUCAGUGCUUUCCUAUGGACGUCCAGCGUCUUCUCACAGUGAGUUUUCAGUGAGAAUUGCGGAAGCGCCUCUAGCGGCUGUCAGUGAGACAGCCACUAGAGGCUGGAUUAACCCUCAGUGAAACAUCUCUGAAACUAUAUUUUCAGCUGCAGGGUUAAAAC